Molecule: ribosomal RNA, 628 nt
Filed under: Micromimetus sp. 2 AAN-2018
Lineage: Eukaryota; Metazoa; Arthropoda; Insecta; Hemiptera; Miridae
Description: SSU rRNA
Rfam family: Eukaryotic small subunit ribosomal RNA
Source: RNAcentral
AGUUGUUGCGGUUAAAAAGCUCGUAGUUGGUUCUGCGUGCCACGCUGUCGGUUCGCCGCCUGCCGGUGUAACUGGCAUGCCGUGGCAUGUCCUGUCGGUGGCGUUCGGGAGCCUUGUUUAGGUGCUGGCUCAAGCCUCAAAGCUUGGUGCUCGGAGGCCAGGGGUAUACCCGUUCGCCUACUCUAUCCUACCUAGGUGCUCUUCACCGAGUGUCGAGGUAGGCCGACACGUUUACUUUGAACAAAUUAGAGUGCUCAAAGCAGGCUGAAAUCUCUGCCUGAAUAGUGGUGCAUGGAAUAAUAAAACAGGACCUUGGUUCUAUUUUGUUGGUUCUUAGGAACACAAGGUAAUGAUCAAUACGGACAGGCGGGGGCAUUCGUAUUGCGACGUUAGAGGUGAAAUUCUUGGAUCGUCGCAAGACGCACAAGAGCGAAAGCAUUUGCCAAGUAUGUCUUGAUUGAUCAAGAACGAAAGUUAGAGGUUCGAAGGCGAUCAGAUACCGCCCUAGUUCUAACCAUAAACGAUGCCAGCCAGCGAUCCGCCGAUGUUCCUCCGAUGACUCGGCGGGGAGCUUCUUCCCGGGAAACCAAAGCUUUUGGGWUUCCGGGGAAGUAWGGUUGCAADCUGA